GAUGAACGCUAGCGGCAGGCCUAAUACAUGCAAGUCGAGGGGUAGAAGAGGCUUGCUUCUUUGAGACCGGCGCACGGGUGCGUAACGCGUAUGCAACCUACCUUCAUCUGGGGGAUAGCCCGGAGAAAUCCGGAUUAAUACCGCAUAAAAUCACAGGAUGGCAUUAUCCAAUGAUCAAACAUUUAUGGGAUGGAGAUGGGCAUGCGUGUCAUUAGCUAGUUGGCGGGGUAACGGCCCACCAAGGCGACGAAGACUAUGGGAUCUGAGAGGAAGGCCCACCCAACUGGUACCGAGGCACGGACCAGACUCCUACGGGGGGCAGCAGGAAGGAAUAUUGGUCAAUGGAGGCAACUCUUAACCAGCCAUGCGGGGUACAGGAAGACUGCCCUAUGGGUUGUAAACUGCUUGUAUUCGGGAAUAAACCUUAUUACGUGUAAUAAGCUGAAUGUACCGAAAGAAUAAGGAUCGGCUAACUCCGUGCCAGCCGCCGCGGUAA
This 496-nucleotide ribosomal RNA is filed under the name uncultured bacterium. RNAcentral describes it as "partial 16S ribosomal RNA". It matches the Rfam family "Bacterial small subunit ribosomal RNA", at positions 28 to 523 of the family's 1533-position model. The record is from RNAcentral.